Molecule: unclassified non-coding RNA, 332 nt
Filed under: soil metagenome
Description: partial contains 5.8S ribosomal RNA, internal transcribed spacer 2, and large subunit ribosomal RNA
Rfam family: 5.8S ribosomal RNA (bases 1-120)
Source: RNAcentral
GAUGAAGAACGUAGCAAAAUGCGAUAAGUAAUGUGAAUUGCAGAAUUCAGUGAAUCAUCGAAUCUUUGAACGCACAUUGCGCCCACCAGUAUUCUGGCGGGCAUGCCUGUUCGAGCGUCAUUUCAACCCUCAAGCACAGCUUGGUGUUGGGACUCGCGUUAAUUCGCGUUCCCCAAAUUGAUUGGCGGUCACGUCGAGCUUCCAUAGCGUAGUAGUAAAACCCUCGUUACUGGUAAUCGUCGCGGCCACGCCGUUAAACCCCAACUUCUGAAUGUUGACCUCGGAUCAGGUAGGAAUACCCGCUGAACUUAAGCAUAUCAAUAAGCGGAGGA